GCUUAAUUAGUAUAAAGAGUAUUAUAGACUUCCAAUUUAUAGGUCCCAAAAUUUAGGAUUAAGCA
This 65-nucleotide transfer RNA is filed under the name Semibalanus balanoides (northern acorn barnacle). RNAcentral's name for it is "tRNA-Gly". The record is from RNAcentral. Lineage: Eukaryota; Metazoa; Arthropoda; Thecostraca; Balanomorpha; Balanidae.